This 629-nucleotide ribosomal RNA is filed under the name uncultured bacterium. RNAcentral describes it as "bacterial SSU rRNA". It matches the Rfam family "Bacterial small subunit ribosomal RNA", at positions 28 to 636 of the family's 1533-position model. The record is from RNAcentral.
AAUGAACGCUGGCGGCGUGCUUAACACAUGCAAGUCGCGCGCGAAAGUGGCUUCGGCCAUGAGUAGAGCGGCGAACGGGUGAGUAACACGUGGGUAACCUGCCUUGGAGUGGGGGAUAACCUGGGGAAACUCGGGCUAAUACCGCAUACGUCGGCGGAGUCGAUGCUCCGUCGGGAAAGCCGGCCUCUGCUUGCAAGCUGGCGCUCCUUGAGGGGCCCGCGUCUGAUUAGCUAGUUGGUGGGGUAAUGGCCCACCAAGGCGACGAUCAGUAGCCGGCCUGAGAGGGUGAUCGGCCACACUGGGACUGAGACACGGCCCAGACUCCUACGGGAGGCAGCAGUGGGGAAUAUUGGACAAUGGGCGAAAGCCUGAUCCAGCAACGCCGCGUGGAGGAAGAAGGUCUUCGGAUCGUAAACUCCUGUCAGGUGGGGCGAAGGGCCAUCGGUGAAUAGCCGGUGUCCUUGACGGUACCACCAGAGGAAGCCCCGGCUAACUCCGUGCCAGCAGCCGCGGUAAUACGGAGGGGGCUAGCGUUAUUCGGAAUUAUUGGGCGUAAAGCGCGCGUAGGCGGCUUGGUAAGUCAAAGGUGAAAUCCCUCGGCUCAACCGAGGAACUGCCUUUGAAACUGC